CUGCUAGUCGAGCGGACAGAUGGGAGCUUGCUCCCUGAAGUCAGCGGCGGACGGGUGAGUAACACGUGGGCAACCUGCCUGUAAGACUGGGAUAACUCCGGGAAACCGGGGCUAAUACCGGAUAAUUCUUUCCCUCACAUGAGGGAAAGCUGAAAGAUGGUUUCGGCUAUCACUUACAGAUGGGCCCGCGGCGCAUUAGCUAGUUGGUGAGGUAACGGCUCACCAAGGCAACGAUGCGUAGCCGACCUGAGAGGGUGAUCGGCCACACUGGGACUGAGACACGGCCCAGACUCCUACGGGAGGCAGCAGUAGGGAAUCUUCCGCAAUGGACGAAAGUCUGACGGAGCAACGCCGCGUGAGUGAUGAAGGUUUUCGGAUCGUAAAACUCUGUUGUUAGGGAAGAACAAGUACCGGAGUAACUGCCGGUACCUUGACGGUACCUAACCAGAAAGCCACGGCUAACUACGUGCCAGCAGCCGCGGUAAUACGUAGGUGGCAAGCGUUGUCCGGAAUUAUUGGGCGUAAAGCGCGCGCAGGCGGUUCCUUAAGUCUGAUGUGAAAGCCCCCGGCUCAACCGGGGAGGGUCAUUGGAAACUGGGGAACUUGAGUGCAGAAGAGAAGAGUGGAAUUCCACGUGUAGCGGUGAAAUGCGUAGAGAUGUGGAGGAACACCAGUGGCGAAGGCGACUCUUUGGUCUGUAACUGACGCUGAGGCGCGAAAGCGUGGGGAGCAAACAGGAUUAGAUACCCUGGUAGUCCACGCCGUAAACGAUGAG
RNAcentral lists this ribosomal RNA (775 nucleotides) under Cytobacillus oceanisediminis. RNAcentral describes it as "bacterial SSU rRNA". It matches the Rfam family "Bacterial small subunit ribosomal RNA", at positions 55 to 813 of the family's 1533-position model. The record is from RNAcentral. Lineage: Bacteria; Bacillati; Bacillota; Bacilli; Caryophanales; Bacillaceae.